AUACGUAGGGUGCAAGCGUUAAUCGGAAUUACUGGGCGUAAAGCGUGCGCAGGCGGUUUUGUAAGACAGUGGUGAAAUCCCCGGGCUCAACCUGGGAACUGCCAUUGUGACUGCAAGGCUGGAGUGGGGCAGCGGGGGAAGGAAUUCCGCGUGUAGCAGUGAAAUGCGUAGAUAUGCGGAGGAACACCGAUGGCGAAGGCAAUCCCCUGGGCCUGCACUGACGCUCAUGCACGAAAGCGUGGGGAGCAAACAGGAUUAGAUACCCUGGUAGUCCACGCCCUAAACGAUGUCAACUGGUUGUUGGGGAUUUACUUUCUCAGUAACGAAGCUAACGCGUGAAGUUGACCGCCUGGGGAGUACGGCCGCAAGGUUAAAACUCAAAGGAAUUGGCGGGG
RNAcentral lists this ribosomal RNA (395 nucleotides) under uncultured bacterium. Its description in RNAcentral is "partial 16S ribosomal RNA". It matches the Rfam family "Bacterial small subunit ribosomal RNA", at positions 523 to 918 of the family's 1533-position model. The record is from RNAcentral.